GAUCCUGGCUCAGGACGAACGCUGGCGGCGUGCUUAACACAUGCAAGUCGAACGAGAAUCUGCGGAAAGAGGAUUCGUCCAAUUGAAGCAGAGGACAGUGGCGGACGGGUGAGUAACGCGUGAGGAACCUGCCUUUCAGAGGGGGACAACAGUUGGAAACGACUGCUAAUACCGCAUGACACAUCGGGGUCGCAUGGCUCUGAUGUCAAAGAUUUAUCGCUGAAAGAUGG
RNAcentral lists this ribosomal RNA (230 nucleotides) under uncultured bacterium. RNAcentral describes it as "partial 16S ribosomal RNA". It matches the Rfam family "Bacterial small subunit ribosomal RNA", at positions 15 to 228 of the family's 1533-position model. The record is from RNAcentral.